GACGAACGCUGGCGGCGUGCUUAACACAUGCAAGUCGAACGGAAAGGCCCUGCUUUUGUGGGGUGCUCGAGUGGCGAACGGGUGAGUAACACGUGAGUAACCUGCCCUUGACUUUGGGAUAACUUCAGGAAACUGGGGCUAAUACCGGAUAGGAGCUCCUGCUGCAUGGUGGGGGUUGGAAAGUUUCGGCGGUUGGGGAUGGACUCGCGGCUUAUCAGCUUGUUGGUGGGGUAGUGGCUUACCAAGGCUUUGACGGGUAGCCGGCCUGAGAGGGUGACCGGCCACAUUGGGACUGAGAUACGGCCCAGACUCCUACGGGAGGCAGCAGUGGGGAAUAUUGCACAAUGGGCGGAAGCCUGAUGCAGCAACGCCGCGUGCGGGAUGACGGCCUUCGGGUUGUAAACCGCUUUCGCCUGUGACGAAGCGUGAGUGACGGUAAUGGGUAAAGAAGCACCGGCUAACUACGUGCCAGCAGCCGCGGUGAUACGUAGGGUGCGAGCGUUGUCCGGAUUUAUUGGGCGUAAAGGGCUCGUAGGUGGUUGAUCGCGUCGGAAGUGUAAUCUCGGGGCUUAACCCUGAGCGUGCUUUCGAUACGAGUUGACUUGAGGAAGGUAGGGGAGAAUGGAAUUCCUGGUGGAGCGGUGGAAUGCGCAGAUAUCAGGAGGAACACCAGUGGCGAAGGCGGUUCUCUGGGCCUUUCCUGACGCUGAGGAGCGAAAGCGUGGGGAGCGAACAGGCUUAGAUACCCUGGUAGUCCACGCUGUAAACGGUGGGUACUAGGUGUGGGGUCCAUUCCACGGGUUCCGUGCCGUAGCUAACGCUUUAAGUACCCCGCCUGGGGAGUACGGCCGCAAGGCUAAAACUCAAAGGAAUUGACGGGGCCCCGCACAAGCGGCGGAGCAUGCGGAUUAAUUCGAUGCAACGCGUAGAACCUUACCUGGGUUUGACAUGGAUCGGGAGUGCUCAGAGAUGGGUGUGCCUCUUUUGGGGUCGGUUCACAGGUGGUGCAUGGCUGUCGUCAGCUCGUGUCGUGAGAUGUUGGGUUAAGUCCCGCAACGAGCGCAACCCUUGUUCACUGUUGCCAGCACGUUAUGGUGGGGACUCAGUGGAGACCGCCGGGGUCAACUCGGAGGAAGGUGGGGAUGACGUCAAGUCAUCAUGCCCCUUAUGUCCAGGGCUUCACGCAUGCUACAAUGGCUGGUACAGAGAGUGGCGAGCCUGUGAGGGUGAGCGAAUCUCGGAAAGCCGGUCUCAGUUCGGAUUGGGGUCUGCAACUCGACCUCAUGAAGUCGGAGUCGCUAGUAAUCGCAGAUCAGCAACGCUGCGGUGAAUACGUUCCCGGG
This 1343-nucleotide ribosomal RNA is filed under the name uncultured bacterium. Its description in RNAcentral is "16S ribosomal RNA". It matches the Rfam family "Bacterial small subunit ribosomal RNA", at positions 28 to 1378 of the family's 1533-position model. The record is from RNAcentral.